This is a long non-coding RNA of Oncorhynchus tshawytscha (Chinook salmon), 707 nucleotides long. RefSeq lists it as uncharacterized. Lineage: Eukaryota; Metazoa; Chordata; Actinopteri; Salmoniformes; Salmonidae. The transcript has 3 exons. The record is from RefSeq and is a predicted model, not a curated record.
AUUAUUUUGGCUGCUAUGGUUAAAAGAAGAGAUCUCGGCGGGUUUACUAUCUGUUUCGCUACAUGGAUAUAAUCUGGCCACGAUUAGACUCAAACCGUUUGAGACCCUCCCUUCCGUCCACCAUAUGGCCAGACCAAUCAGCAUCCUCUGAUCAUCUGUGGGGGUGGUUAAAUUGUUGAUGACAACAAAAAUCAAAAUUCAUAACAACAAUGACUGGAGGUUGCUGUUAACCGCUGCAGUAGUGGUAUCAUGUCAGAAUUGAAGGGCAUAACUUAAUUGAAAGCAAAUAACUGCAUUGAAGGCUUUUCUUGGGGAGAAUAUGUUUUUCGUUCUUCUCCCGAAUGAGUUUGCCAAGCACUUGAUUUACGAGCUAGUUCCACUGGUAGUCAAGAAAAUGGGACGGAUCAAGAACCCAAUUCUCAUUGUUGUGUCAAUGUGGGUCGCUUUAAUGGAGGUCCACAUCACAUACAAAUGGGGAGAGGUCGCAAAAGGGGAACCAGCCAUCAGAGAGAGCUGGGAAAACUCUGAUCCAUAGCCAAAGAGAGUACACCUGUGUUGGCACUGACAACAUCCGUGCCUACGUUGUCAACAACAUCCAGUAUUCCGAUUGCAACAUACAAUUUUAGCUGGAGACUUUCUUGGUCUAUAGUAAUUAGUUAGUUAAAUGUUAAAUUGUUUGUGUUGUUACUUGUCUAAACGUACCAGAU